CACGUAGGGCGCAAGCGUUGUCCGGAAUUAUUGGGCGUAAAGAGCUCGUAGGCGGUCUGUUGCGUCCGCUGUGAAAACUCGGGGCUUAACCCCGAGCCUGCAGUGGAUACGGGCAGACUAGAGGUAGGUAGGGGAGAAUGGAAUUCCCGGUGUAGCGGUGAAAUGCGCAGAUAUCGGGAGGAACACCGAUGGCGAAGGCAGCCCCCUGGGUCAAUACUGACGCUGAGGAGCGAAAGCCAGGGGAGCAAACGGG
RNAcentral lists this ribosomal RNA (253 nucleotides) under uncultured bacterium. RNAcentral's name for it is "partial 16S ribosomal RNA". It matches the Rfam family "Bacterial small subunit ribosomal RNA", at positions 524 to 776 of the family's 1533-position model. The record is from RNAcentral.